This 484-nucleotide ribosomal RNA is filed under the name uncultured bacterium. RNAcentral's name for it is "partial 16S ribosomal RNA". It matches the Rfam family "Bacterial small subunit ribosomal RNA", at positions 28 to 523 of the family's 1533-position model. The record is from RNAcentral.
GAUGAACGCUGGCGGCGUGCUUAACACAUGCAAGUCGAACGGUGAAGCAGGAGCUUGCUCUUGUGGAUCAGUGGCGAACGGGUGAGUAACACGUGAGCAACCUGCCCCUGACUCUGGGAUAAGCGCUGGAAACGGCGUCUAAUACUGGAUAUGUGAUGUGACCGCAUGGUCUGCAUCUGGAAAGAAGUUCGGGUGGGGAUUGGCACGCGGCCUGGCAGCUUGUUGGGGAGGUAAUGGCUAACCAAGGCGUCGACGGGUAGCCGGCCUGAGAGGGUGACCGGCCACACUGGGGAUGAGACACGGCCCAGACUCCUACGGGAGGCAGCAGUGGGGAAUAUUGCACAAUGGGCGGAAGCCUGAUGCAGCAACGCCGCGUGAGGGAUGACGGCCUUCGGGUUGUAAACCUCUUUUAGCAGGGAAGAAGCGAAAGUGACGGUACCUGCAGAAAAAGCACCGGCUAACUACGUGCCAGCCGCCGCGGUAA